This 240-nucleotide long non-coding RNA is filed under the name Carica papaya (papaya). RNAcentral describes it as "long non-coding RNA (CPAP_LNC000734)". Lineage: Eukaryota; Viridiplantae; Streptophyta; Magnoliopsida; Brassicales; Caricaceae. The record is from RNAcentral.
CCCUAUAUUUAUCUAACCAGUGCAUACCAAGGAUUACAUCAACCCCUAAAAAGUCUAAUAGUAUUAGAUCUGCAAUGAGUUCUUUCUCUAAGACAUUUACUUUACAAUUUUUAUAUACACAAAAGGCUUCUAAUAGUCCCCAAGAGGGUGUCUCUAAAGCUAAAAUCUUUCUUAGAUGUUCUAGUUUAAGGUUUAAUUAUUAAGAAAAAUUACAAGAUACGAAAGAGUGACAAAAGGCAU